RNAcentral lists this ribosomal RNA (158 nucleotides) under Dicranum undulatum. Its description in RNAcentral is "5.8S ribosomal RNA". It matches the Rfam family "5.8S ribosomal RNA". Rfam says of the family: 5.8S ribosomal RNA (5.8S rRNA) is a component of the large subunit of the eukaryotic ribosome. It is transcribed by RNA polymerase I as part of the 45S precursor that also contains 18S and 28S rRNA. The record is from RNAcentral. Lineage: Eukaryota; Viridiplantae; Streptophyta; Bryopsida; Dicranales; Dicranaceae.
AACAACUCUCAGCAACGGAUAUUUUGGCUCUUGCAACGAUGAAGAACGCAGCGAAAUGCGAUACGUAGUGUGAAUUGCAGAAUUUCGCGAAUCAUCGAGUCUUUGAACGCAAGUUGCGCCCGAGGCUUGACCAAGGGCAUCCCUGCCAGAGCGUCACC